RNAcentral lists this transfer RNA (123 nucleotides) under Labrys neptuniae. RNAcentral describes it as "tRNA-OTHER". Lineage: Bacteria; Pseudomonadati; Pseudomonadota; Alphaproteobacteria; Hyphomicrobiales; Xanthobacteraceae. The record is from RNAcentral.
GCGCCUCGGUCAGAAAUCAUGUGGCAAAUCUGUGGCGAGUACUACCUACAUCUUUGAUCAUCCAGCAACUUAAUCUGCCUUCUAAGCAGGGGGUUGCAGGUUCGACUCCUGCCGGGCGCGCCA